UUCCGUCAACCAAACAAUCACGGA
This 24-nucleotide non-coding RNA is filed under the name Arabidopsis thaliana (thale cress). The record is from RNAcentral. Lineage: Eukaryota; Viridiplantae; Streptophyta; Magnoliopsida; Brassicales; Brassicaceae.